AGCUGGAGCUGAUCUUGGAUUUGCUGAAUUGAUGUCUAGAAUAAUGAAAUCUUUUGUGGUAAACAUGGUACAAAUGGAAGUGAUGAAUGCUUUCACACUCACUUUCCCCUCAUCUUCUAGAAUCACUAAGAGAAAGGAAAGAGACAAGAGAAGAAGUAAUUAAGAAGGGUGGAAUAGAGAAGUACAAGUUAGUGUAUUGCAAUGAACCAGCCUCCAUCAUUUUCACCAACAAUGAUAUAAGAGCUGAAAAUGGCGAGCCUUUGAAAGUUGUCAUUUUAGAUGGCACAACCAAUGCCAUUAUCUGCACUGGCCUUCUCUCAUCAGCCCAGCUUGAGUUCUUCCUUCUCGACGGCGAUUACGGCGGCUCUACCGGCCAACAACAACAUCAUCCUUUGUCUCCAAGAGAUGGCAAAAGGCCUUUAUUGGUUGGAAAUGAUCUCAAGCUCAAUUUGCAAAACGUUCUCUCUUUGUCCAUCACUAGAUUAGAGAUGACAAAAUUCUUCCCAUGUUUGAUGAUCCAACAAUUCCUCUAGCUGUCUCCCAAUCUUUUAGAGUCAUGGAUCAUCGCGGAGAAGAGUGAACAAGAAGCAUCAUCCUCAAAGCAGAGAAGAUGAAUUAUGGCGCUUGGAAGGGAUUGGAAAAGAUGGUGCAUAUCACAAAAACUUACCUUCCCAUAACAUCAAAACUGUGGGUGACUUCUUGAAGGCAUCUUUGAAAAAGUUGCUUGGUAUCAAAGUCCCAAAGAAAGCAUGGCUGAUGAUGGUUGCUAAUGCUAAGGAGUGUGUCAAUCCUCCCGAUUAUGAACAAACCUCAAAGGCUAACUACACACUCUCUCUUUCAACUUUAUUUCUUUAUCUGCUGAAAGUGAGAGCUUUCAAUUAAGCAGGUUUUGUUAUAUGGAAACAGGUAAAUGAGUGGGCAUAUAAAGUUAUGGGAGAUGAAUCACCUUUCAAUCAAGGCCAUGAAGAUUAUGAGCAAAAGAAUAAUUUAGGUUAUGGUAGCUCUCAAAUUCCAAAGAUGGGCUUUAUUGAAGAUUUUGGAUAUGGGUAACUUGGUCAUAGAGGUUUCUCGCCAUGGGUUAGUGUGGAAGCACUCACAUCAACCAUUAUCAACGACUUUGGACAAAGUUAGCAUCCUCAAAAUGUAUCCAGAAGGUUGGAUGAUCUGCAAGUAAAUCUCUUUAACUCGUUAAUGGCUUCUAAAUGUAGACGAGUUGAUGGUAAGCUCCUCCACUAUGUCGCUAGUCUAAAGCAUGUUGUCGGUUCACUCGUUGGUGCGUGAGCUUCCUUCGAGGCAUUCGAUGGACAGAGCCAUGAGCCUGGUGCUCGGGGAUUCCGGAGGUUGCCUGA
Benincasa hispida (wax gourd) is the source of this 1349-nucleotide long non-coding RNA. RefSeq lists it as uncharacterized. Lineage: Eukaryota; Viridiplantae; Streptophyta; Magnoliopsida; Cucurbitales; Cucurbitaceae. The record is from RefSeq and is a predicted model, not a curated record.